CUGGCUCAGGAUGAACGCUAGCGGCAGGCUAACACAUGCAAGUCGAGGGGCAGCGGGAUGUAGCAAUACAUUGCCGGCGACCGGCGGAUGGGUGCGUAACGCGUAUGCAACCUACCUUAUACAGGGGAAUAACCUUUCGAAAGGGAGACUAACACCCCAUGGUAUUGAUUUAAGGCAUCUUAGAUUAAUUAAAUAUUUAUAGGUAUAAGAUGGGCAUGCGUAUGAUUAGCUAGUUGGUAAGGUAACGGCUUACCAAGGCGACGAUCAUUAGGGGUUCUGAGAGGAAGGUCCCCCACACUGGUACUGAGACACGGACCAGACUCCUACGGGAGGCAGCAGUGAGGAAUAUUGGUCAAUGGGCGCAAGCCUGAACCAGCCAUGCCGCGUGCAAGGAAGACGGCCUUAUGGGUUGUAAACUGCUUUUACAUAAGACUAACCGUAUAUUUGCGAAUAUACCUGAGUGUAUUAUGAGAAUAAGGAUCGGCUAACUCCGUGCCAGCCGCCGC
RNAcentral lists this ribosomal RNA (506 nucleotides) under uncultured bacterium. RNAcentral's name for it is "bacterial SSU rRNA". It matches the Rfam family "Bacterial small subunit ribosomal RNA", at positions 19 to 518 of the family's 1533-position model. The record is from RNAcentral.